Molecule: long non-coding RNA, 454 nt
Organism: Xiphophorus couchianus (Monterrey platyfish)
Lineage: Eukaryota; Metazoa; Chordata; Actinopteri; Cyprinodontiformes; Poeciliidae
Exons: 2
Source: RefSeq, a predicted model, not a curated record
GGGAGAGCAGAAGAAGGUGGGAGGAGCUCCUUCAACCAGCCAUGCAGUCUGGCAAGCGGCCACACUCACCGAUCCUCGUUAAACCUCCUGCGUUGCUUUGCUGUCAUUAAUGUUCAGCGCGCAACCAGGUAAUCAAUCUUGGUCAGAGGGCUCUUUGAAGUGGGCAGAAUUUGAAGUGCCCCUCUCUCCCCCGGGACUGCUCCUGUUUUUGGGUGACAGUGAUGGGGAGGAACGCUGCCACCGCUUCAGAGCCAGUCUGGACCCCCUGCUGGUCUCCAUUACGGUCAGCAAAAGGGAGAGGCAGAAAUCGGGGAGGGACAAACGCGGGAGAACCAGUCAUCUGCAGAGAUUAGACAUUUGACUUUGAUUGUGAUACAACGACUGAGUGCAAUGCAAAAGUAUUGAUGCAACUUAUUUGUCACUGAAUUAAAAUGCAAUCGCAGCUUCAAGUCUU